AUUGAACGCUGGCGGCAUGCCUUACACAUGCAAGUCGAGCGGCAGCGCGGGGGCAACCCUGGCGGCGAGCGGCGAACGGGUGAGUAAUGCAUCGGAACGUGUCCUCUUGUGGGGGAUAACCAGUCGAAAGACUGGCUAAUACCGCAUGAGCUCGAGAGAGGAAAGCAGGGGACCGCAAGGCCUUGCGCGAGAGGAGCGGCCGAUGCCGGAUUAGCUAGUUGGUGGGGUAAAGGCCUACCAAGGCGACGAUCCGUAGCUGGUCUGAGAGGACGACCAGCCACACUGGGACUGAGACGCGGCCCAGACUCCUACGGGAGGCAGCAGUGGGGAAUUUAGGACAAUGGGGGCAACCCUGAUCCAGCCAUGCCGCGUGUGUGAAGAAGGCCUCGGGUUGUAAGCACUUUCGGCCAGAACGAAAUCGCACGAUCUAAUAAGUCGCGUGGAUGACGGUACCGGAAGAAGAAGCACCGGCUAACUACGUGCCAGCAGCCGCGGUAAUACGUAGGGUGCAAGCGUUAAUCGGAAUUACUGGGCGUAAAGUGUGCGCAGGUGGCCGCGCAAGUCGAGUGUGAAAGCCCGGCGUUAACUUGGGAAUUGCGCUCGAAACUACGUGGCUCGAGUGUGGCAGAGGAAGGUGGAAUUCCACGCGUAGCGGUGAAAUGCGUAGAGAUGUGGAGGAACACCGAUGGCGAAGGCAGCCUUCUGGGCCAACACUGACGCUCAUGCACGAAAAGCGUGGGGGAGC
This 745-nucleotide ribosomal RNA is filed under the name uncultured bacterium. RNAcentral's name for it is "bacterial SSU rRNA". It matches the Rfam family "Bacterial small subunit ribosomal RNA", at positions 28 to 769 of the family's 1533-position model. The record is from RNAcentral.